Molecule: ribosomal RNA, 433 nt
Filed under: uncultured bacterium
Lineage: Bacteria
Description: partial 16S ribosomal RNA
Rfam family: Bacterial small subunit ribosomal RNA
Source: RNAcentral
AGCGAACGCUGGCGGCAGGCUUAACACAUGCAAGUCGAGCGGGCACUUCGGUGUCAGCGGCAUACGGGUGAGUAACACGUGGGAACGUACCCUUCGGUUCGGAAUAACGCUGGGAAACUAGCGCUAAUACCGGAUACGCCCUUUUGGGGAAAGGUUUACUGCCGAAGGAUCGGCCCGCGUCUGAUUAGCUAGUUGGUGGGGUAAUGGCCUACCAAGGCGACGAUCAGUAGCUGGUCUGAGAGGAUGAUCAGCCACACUGGGACUGAGACACGGCCCAGACUCCUACGGGAGGCAGGAGUGGGGAAUAUUGGACAAUGGGCGCAAGGCUGAUCCAGCCAUGCAGCGUGAGCGAUGAAGGCCUUAGGGUUGUAAAGCGCUUUUGUCCGGGACGAUAAUGACGGUACCGGAAGAAUAAGCCCCGGCUAACUUCGUG